This 633-nucleotide small RNA is filed under the name Pongo abelii (Sumatran orangutan). RNAcentral describes it as "processed transcript". Lineage: Eukaryota; Metazoa; Chordata; Mammalia; Primates; Hominidae. The record is from RNAcentral.
CUUCAGCGAGGAGAACAGUCCGAAAUGGCGGGGACUGUUGGUCUCGGCCCUGCGGAAGGUUCAGGAACAAGUGCAUCCCACUCUCUCAGCUAAUGAAGAGUCUCUCUAUUAUAUUGAAGAGCUGAUUUUUCAGCUGCUUAAUAAAUUAUGCAUGGCCCAGCCAAGGACUGUUCAAGAUGUAGAGGAGCGAGUUCAGAAGACCUUUCCUCACCCAAUUGAUAAAUGGGCCAUUGCUGAUGCACAAUCUGCUAUAGAAAAACGAAAACGAAGAAAUCCUCUUUUACUGCCUGUGGACAAAAUCCAUCCUUCGUUGAAGGAAGUGUUAGGGUACAAAGUGGACUACCAUGUAUCCCUAUAUAUUGUGGCUGUACUAGAGUAUAUCUCAGCUGAUAUUUUAAAAUUGGCUGGUAAUUAUGUUUUUAAUAUCCGGCAUUAUGAAAUAUCUCAGCAGGACAUUAAAGUGUCAAUGUGUGCGGAUAAGGAUAUCGAAAAGAUUUUUAGUAACAUUUCAGAUAUACAUGAAUUGACUGUGAAACUUUUAGGUUUGAUUGAAGACACAGUUGAAAUGACUGAUGAAAGCAGUCCUCAUCCCUUAGCUGGCAGCUGUUUUGAAGAUUUGGCAGAAGUAAGUUU